GACGAACGCUGGCGGCGUGCUUAACACAUGCAAGUCGAACGGAAAGGCCCUGCUUUUGUGGGGUGCUCGAGUGGCGAACGGGUGAGUAACACGUGAGUAACCUGCCCUUGACUUUGGGAUAACUUCAGGAAACUGGGGCUAAUACCGGAUAGGAGCUCCUGCUGCAUGGUGGGGGUUGGAAAGUUUCGGCGGUUGGGGAUGGACUCGUGGCUUAUCAGCUUGUUGGUGGGGUAGUGGCUUACCAAGGCUUUGACGGGUAGCCGGCCUGAGAGGGUGACCGGCCAUAUUGGGACUGAGAUACGGCCCAGACUCCUACGGGAGGCAGCAGUGGAGAAUAUUGCACAAUGGGCGGAAGCCUGAUGCAGCAACGCCGCGUGCGAGAUGACGGCCUUCGGGUUGUAAACCGCUUUCGCCUGUGACGAAGCGUGAGUGACGGUAAUGGGUAAAGAAGCACCGGCUAACUACGUG
Molecule: ribosomal RNA, 468 nt
Filed under: uncultured bacterium
Lineage: Bacteria
Description: partial 16S ribosomal RNA
Rfam family: Bacterial small subunit ribosomal RNA
Source: RNAcentral